This is a long non-coding RNA of Myripristis murdjan (pinecone soldierfish), 167 nucleotides long. RefSeq lists it as uncharacterized. The record is from RefSeq and is a predicted model, not a curated record. The transcript has 3 exons. NCBI's taxonomy places the organism in Eukaryota, Metazoa, Chordata, Actinopteri, Holocentriformes, Holocentridae.
GGACCUUCAGACACAAAAGAUUCCUGCCACAGAGCAGAGUCUGCAGUGUCCAGCUGUCUGUCCAUGAAGAGCGACUGGUCUAAAGAUUAUCCUCCACUCUUCAGUGCUGAACCUGGAGCUCCAGACACAAAGGACAGGAAGAGGAGUCGAGGUGAUGUGAAGGAGCA